Molecule: ribosomal RNA, 484 nt
Filed under: uncultured bacterium
Lineage: Bacteria
Description: bacterial SSU rRNA
Rfam family: Bacterial small subunit ribosomal RNA
Source: RNAcentral
GAUGAUCGCUGGCGGCGUGCCUAAUACAUGCAAGUCGAACGAGGUGCUUUUGUAGCAAUACGAGAGUAUCCUAGUGGCGAACGGGUGAGUAACGCGUUGGUGACCUACCCCAAAGUGUGGGAUAACAGUCCGAAAGGAUUGCUAAUACCGCAUGUGGUCUUCGGAUUUAGAAACUGAUGACUAAAGGAGCAAUUCGCUUUGGGAGGGACCUGCGUCCCAUCAGCUGGUUGGUGAGGUAAUGGCUCACCAAGGCUACGACGGGUAGGGGACCUGAGAGGGUGACCCCCCACAAUGGAACUGAAACACGGUCCAUACACCUACGGGUGGCAGCAGUAGGGAAUAUUGCACAAUGGGCGAAAGCCUGAUGCAGCAACGCCGCGUGUGCGAUGAAGGCCUUGGGUCGUAAAGCACUUUUCUGGGAGAUGAGCAAGGACAGUAUCUCAGGAAUAAGUCUCGGCUAACUACGUGCCAGCAGCCGCGGUAA